GAUGAAGAACGUAGUGAAAUGCGAUACGUAGUGUGAAUUGCAGAAUUCAGUGAAUCAUCGAAUCUUUGAACGCACAUUGCGCCCUUUGGUAUUCCAAAGGGCAUGCCUGUUCGAGCGUCAUUUGUACCCUCAAGCUUUGCUUGGUGUUGGGCGUCUUGUCUCCAGUCCGCUGGAGACUCGCCUUAAAGUCAUUGGCAGCCGGCCUACUGGUUUCGGAGCGCAGCACAAGUCGCACUCUUUUCCAGCCAAGGUCAGCGUCCAACAAGCCUUUUUUCAACUUUUGACCUCGGAUCAGGUAGGGAUACCCGCUGAACUUAAGCAUAUCAAUAAGCGGAGGA
This 338-nucleotide unclassified non-coding RNA is filed under the name soil metagenome. RNAcentral's name for it is "partial contains 5.8S ribosomal RNA, internal transcribed spacer 2, and large subunit ribosomal RNA". The stretch from base 1 to 120 matches the Rfam family "5.8S ribosomal RNA", at positions 35 to 154 of the family's 154-position model. The record is from RNAcentral.